UACGUAGGGGGCAAGCGUUGUCCGGAAUCAUUGGGCGUAAAGAGCGUGUAGGCGGCCAGAUAAGUCCGCUGUGAAAUCUCGAGGCUCAACUUCGAGCUGUCGGUGGAAACUGUCUGGCUAGAGUCCGGAAGAGGAGAAUGGAAUUCCUGGUGUAGCGGUGAAAUGCGCAGAUAUCCGGAGGAACACCAGUGGCGAAAGCGGCUUCCUGGUCCAGCACCGACGUUCAGGCACGAAAGCGUGGGGAGCAAACAGG
Molecule: ribosomal RNA, 253 nt
Filed under: uncultured bacterium
Lineage: Bacteria
Description: partial 16S ribosomal RNA
Rfam family: Bacterial small subunit ribosomal RNA
Source: RNAcentral